AUGAAAUGAAAGUUGAGAGAGAUGUAGUAAUAAUUAUAUAUAUAAGAUUGCUUGGAUCCAUUAAAAAAAAAGCUUCUUCACAUUCCAGCUCUUAUACAACUUUGUUUAUUGUGUCUGCUUUAUUCAAAAACACCAUGUCAAAUGUUCCAUUUCAUUCCUUUGAUACCCUAUUUAACUUCCUAUAUUUGCACUUUUUAUUUACGUAAUUUGAUGUUUGUUCUGUGAAAGCAUUUAAUUUUGAACUCAUCGAUUCUUACUCU
This 260-nucleotide long non-coding RNA is filed under the name Gossypium barbadense (sea-island cotton). Its description in RNAcentral is "long non-coding RNA (GBAR_LNC000738)". Lineage: Eukaryota; Viridiplantae; Streptophyta; Magnoliopsida; Malvales; Malvaceae. The record is from RNAcentral.